GAUGAACGCUGACAGAAUGCUUAACACAUGCAAGUCAACUGUGCUGUACGGGUGAGUAACGCGUACAGAACUUGCCUCACUGAUAGGGACCACGUUUGGAAACGAAUGCUAAUACCUGAUAUUGUGAGAGCGCUUUGCGUCCCAUUCGCUAGUUGGAGAGGUAACGGGUCACAAAGGCGAUGAUGGGUAGCCGGCCUGAGAGGGUGAUCGGGCACAAGGGAACUGAGACACAGGCCGUACGCCUACGUGAGCCAGCGGUGGGGAAUAUAGGACAAUGGACCAAAGUGUGAACCAGCAAUUCUGUGUGCAAGAUGAAGUUUUCGGAAUGUAAAGGGCAUUCAGUUGAGAAGCAGUACCAACAGAAGAAGCACCGGCUAACUACGUGCCAGCAGCCGCGGUAAUUC
RNAcentral lists this ribosomal RNA (404 nucleotides) under uncultured bacterium. RNAcentral describes it as "partial 16S ribosomal RNA". It matches the Rfam family "Bacterial small subunit ribosomal RNA", at positions 28 to 526 of the family's 1533-position model. The record is from RNAcentral.